Long non-coding RNA from Hevea brasiliensis (rubber tree), 246 nucleotides. RefSeq lists it as uncharacterized. The transcript has 2 exons. Lineage: Eukaryota; Viridiplantae; Streptophyta; Magnoliopsida; Malpighiales; Euphorbiaceae. The record is from RefSeq and is a predicted model, not a curated record.
GGUGAUCGAAGUCAGCUAUUUUUCUGCAUCCAGCAGCCACAAUAGUCAUCGGUGUACUGCUACAGGAGGAGACAUUUUUCAGAAUAACCUGUCCCUUUCCUCUCAGGUUAUGAAAAGAUUACUUGAUUGUAUUAUUAUUCUCUAAAUUUGUAAUUUAGGACUCCGCAUGUGCUAGUAGUAGCAUUAAGCCUGUUAGGGACUGUAUGAAUUCAAGUUUUUGUAUUAAUAAAUGAAAAAUUUUUAUGA